UUUUUUUUUUGGUUUGUUUAGCUAAGUAUUUGUCAAUUUUGUUUAUCUUUUCAAACAACCACCUUUUAGUUUAAUUGAUCCUUUCUAUUAAUUUAUUUCCUGUUCUGAUAUUUAUGAUUUAUUUCCUGCUACUGAUUUUGGAUUUGGUUUGCUCCUGUUUUUCUAAUGCCCUGAGAAAUAUCAUUAGAUUAUUUGUGUUUGCUGUGGUGAUUUUUUUAAUGUAUGUACUCAUAGUUAUAAAAUUCCAUCUUAGUACUGCUUUCAUUAUACUUCUGAAAUGUUGGUAAUUAUGCAACACUGGCUGAGUCAUAAAGAAUUGAGUGUAUGUCUUAGUUGUGAUUAUUGAUCCUGAGUAUAUCUUAGUUUAAGUUUCUUAUGUUGUGAAACAGGAAUAUUUGUUUCUUUGAGAAUUUGAUAAAAGUAGUCCUGAGUGAUUCAUUUCAGAUUAUAAUGACAACUUUUAUUACUGCUUAAGUUUUUGUUUUUAUUUAUUUUUAAAGUUUUUGGUACUAGGGAUUGAACCUAGGAGUGCUUUACCACUGAGUUACCUUCCCUAUUACCCCCUCUUUUUAAAAACAAAUUUUUGAGAUGAUUUUGCUUAGUUGCUGAAACUGGCCUUAAAUUUGUGAUCCUUUUGUCUCAGCCUCCUGAGUUACUGGGAUUCUAGGCAUAUACCUCCAUGCCUAGCGUAUUAAAUAGGGUUUUAGAGGGAAAGUAAGAGAAGAAAAACUUGGAAGUGAAUAUUCAACUCUCUGUACCAAAGUAAGAUGACUUUCUUCUUUUUUUCAAUCCUGCCAAAUAUCACAAAACCUGGACAUUAUGAAGGAAAAAGAAAAUAAAGGUUUUUUUUAGUUUUUUUCAAUGUAGUAAGAAAAAGUGGGAGCAAGUAAGUAUUUUCUUAUGCAAUAUCUUAGAAGAGUCUUCAAAUCUUGUAUAAAAUAAGUGGUUUUUAUCUUGAAAUUGCAUAUAGACACUGUCUUUUUCUUAUUAGACUGCAAGCGCUCCUGAAACCCCUCUAAUAAAUAAGCACCGCCCAACUUUUUGAGGUCCAAUACUAUUUCCAAACCAUAUGUUUCAAACAUCCUGCCAUCGGAUGCACCCAAGAAGAGGCGUGCUCCAUUGCCUCCAAUGCCAGCAUCUCAGAGUGCCCCUCAGGACCUUACAAACAUACAGGAGAGGCCAGCUUCUUGUGUGGUGAAAUCCACAAGUGUGGAGGAGACUGAUAAGGUGGGUAGGUUUGUUUUGUUUUACAGGAUGAGACAAGGUUACGUAACUUAGACCCCCAAGAAAGUUAGUAACAGUUAUUAAUAUGUAAUAACAUGAAUAAGUACUUAACUAAAAUUGGUACUGGAAAAAGAUUAUAUGUAGUUUGAUUCAAUGAAGAAUAAGUUGCUAUUUUAUGGAGCUUUUUUUUAUUCAAGCAAAUAGCUGGUCUAUAAACAUUAUGUCUUACUUAAUGCAUAUAUUACAGAUGAAAAUGCUUAUUUUCAAAUGAAAAUGUUUUUAAACAACAGUCUUUGUGCUAAUUCAUGGGCUUCUAAUUUGUAUGUCUUCUUUACCUAAUUUUGAGAUUCUGCAGAGGAAAUACUUGUGUCUACCUAAAAUCAAUACUAAAUCAACAUAUUGUGAUUACCUUUAUGUGUUCUUAUGUUCAAAUCAUUGUUCUAUGUGUACCUUUUCCUUUAAGUUUUACUUUUAUUCUUCUUCUUUAUUGUCUU
RNAcentral lists this long non-coding RNA (1718 nucleotides) under Marmota monax (woodchuck). The record is from RNAcentral. Lineage: Eukaryota; Metazoa; Chordata; Mammalia; Rodentia; Sciuridae.